This 171-nucleotide ribosomal RNA is filed under the name uncultured bacterium. RNAcentral describes it as "partial 16S ribosomal RNA". It matches the Rfam family "Bacterial small subunit ribosomal RNA", at positions 338 to 524 of the family's 1533-position model. The record is from RNAcentral.
CCUACGGGAGGCAGCAGUGGGGAAUUUUCCGCAAUGGGCGCAAGCCUGACGGAGCAAUACCGCGUGAGGGAUGACGGCCUAUGGGUUGUAAACCUCUUUUUCAGGGAGGAAUCAAUGACGUGUACCUGAAGAAGAAGCAUCGGCUAACUCCGUGCCAGCAGCCGCGGUAAU